RNAcentral lists this ribosomal RNA (664 nucleotides) under uncultured cyanobacterium. Its description in RNAcentral is "bacterial SSU rRNA". It matches the Rfam family "Bacterial small subunit ribosomal RNA", at positions 99 to 796 of the family's 1533-position model. The record is from RNAcentral. Lineage: Bacteria; Bacillati; Cyanobacteriota.
CGGACGGGUGAGUAACGCGUGAGAAUCUACCCUUAGGAUGGGGACAACAGUUGGAAACGACUGCUAAUACCCGAUGUGCCGAGAGGUAAAACUUAUAUGGCCUGAGGAAGAGCUCGCGUCUGAUUAGCUAGUUGGUAGUGUAAGGGACUACCAAGGCGACGAUCAGUAGCUGGUCUGAGAGGAUGAUCAGCCACACUGGGACUGAGACACGGCCCAGACUCCUACGGGAGGCAGCAGUGGGGAAUUUUCCGCAAUGGGCGAAAGCCUGACGGAGCAAGACCGCGUGAGGGAGGAAGGCCUACUGGUUGUAAACCUCUUUUGAUAGGGAAGAACACAAUGACGGUACCUAUUGAAUCAGCCUCGGCUAACUCCGUGCCAGCAGCCGCGGUAAUACGGAGGAGGCAAGCGUUAUCCGGAAUUAUUGGGCGUAAAGCGUCCGUAGGUGGUUAUCCAAGUCAGUUGCUAAAGCGUAGAGCUUAACUCUAUAAGGGCAAUUGAAACUGGGUGGCUAGAGUGCGAUAGGGGCAAGGGGAAUUCCCAGUGUAGCGGUGAAAUGCGUAGAUAUUGGGAAGAACAUCGGUGGCGAAGGCGCCUUGCUGGGUCUGCACUGACACUGAGGGACGAAAGCUAGGGGAGCGAAAGGGAUUAGAUACCCCUGUAGUCA